UACAGAGGGUGCGAGCGUUAAUCGGAAUUACUGGGCGUAAAGCGUGCGCAGGCGGCUCCUUAAGUCAGAUGUGAAAGCCCCGGGCUUAACCUGGGAACUGCGUUUGAAACUGGGGGGCUAGAGUGUGGAAGAGGGGGGUGGAAUUCCAGGUGUAGCAGUGAAAUGCGUAGAGAUCUGGAGGAACACCGAUGGCGAAGGCAGCCCCCUGGGCUAACACUGACGCUCAUGCACGAAAGCGUGGGGAGCAAACAGG
Molecule: ribosomal RNA, 253 nt
Filed under: uncultured bacterium
Lineage: Bacteria
Description: partial 16S ribosomal RNA
Rfam family: Bacterial small subunit ribosomal RNA
Source: RNAcentral